GUUUAUAGGACUGCUAAAGAAUUGAAGCAGACAAAUUUUUCCAAUAUAACUUGGGGUUUCAAUGUCAGCAAGAAUUCUCAUUACCUUGUUCGGGUACACUUUUGUGACAUUAUUAGUACACAACAUGAUGCUCUCAAGUUCUAUUUUCAUAUUUAUAGCAACUUCAGUGCGAAUAUCAGUUCUUAUGACAUAACUAGACUUCUGGCAUCACCGUUUUACUUUGAUUUUGUUGUUGAGUCAGAUAAUUCUGGAUUCAUAAAUGU
This 263-nucleotide unclassified non-coding RNA is filed under the name Hevea brasiliensis (rubber tree). The record is from RNAcentral. Lineage: Eukaryota; Viridiplantae; Streptophyta; Magnoliopsida; Malpighiales; Euphorbiaceae.